UCAUUUGCACGUACAUUUGAGGAUCUUCGAAGAAAAGUAGAAACCGGUUCGGCUCCGGCGACCCAUUUACCUAAUUUAAAGGCACGAGCAGAAAACAUCAGAAAUCAAGAUAUUUUCCUUCUACGACUGCGUUAAAGAUUCGUCGAGGAUUCUACACAAAAACCUACGACUCUACGAAAACAAAAGAUGAUCAAUCUCAUUCCAUUCGUAUUUAGCGGAAGUGGAAGAAAAGUUACCUUAUCCGACUUACAGUUACAUUCCGGAGACCGAAUUCGAUUGCCGAGGACGUUGGGGUUUCUACGCGGAUCCUGGGACCGACUGCCAAGUUUUCCAUCUCUGCAAAUACGGACC
Centruroides sculpturatus (bark scorpion) is the source of this 351-nucleotide long non-coding RNA. RefSeq lists it as uncharacterized. Lineage: Eukaryota; Metazoa; Arthropoda; Arachnida; Scorpiones; Buthidae. The transcript has 3 exons. The record is from RefSeq and is a predicted model, not a curated record.